AAGUCGUAACAAGGUUUCCGUAGGUGAACCUGCGGAAGGAUCAUUACCAAAACAAUGGCCGAAAGGCCUUGCCCUAGGGAGGGAGACCUCCCGACGGUAAACCCUUUGUGAAAACCCUCCUGUUUGCCUCGGCGGCACCCUUUAAUUAGGGGUCAGCCCGCCGACGGCACCAAACAAAAACUCUUUUGAAUUGAAGAAUCAGUCUGAAUCAAUGGUCGAAUGACUAUAAAACUUUCAACAACGGAUCUCUUGGUUCCCGCAUCGAUGAAGAACGCAGCGAAACGCGAUAGUUAAUGUGAAUUGCAGAAUUCAGUGAAUCAUCGAGUCUUUGAACGCACAUUGCGCCUUUUGGUAUUCCGAGAGGCACGCCUGUCUGAGCGUCAGUAAUACCUUCGGUUUGACGAUUUAUUGUCUCGCCGGCGUUGGCGGUUUAAGGGGGUUAACCCCCCUAAUUCCGUUUAAACACUGACAGCGGGGUAAGUUUAAGUAACACCUAUCGAUUAGUAGAAAUAUUUAUCGUUCAAGGAAGAUCUAAACUCCCGCAAUACAAAAUAUGGGGAAACCCACACCAAUUUUGACCUCAGAUCAGACGAGGAUACCCGCUGAACUUAAGCAUAUCAAUAAGCGGAGGAAAAGAAACCAACAGGGAUUGCCUCAGUAGCGGCGAGUGAAGCGGCAAAAGCUCAGAUUUGAAAUCCAACGUCUUUCGGCGUUCGAGUUGUAAUCUGGAGAGGAUGCUCCGGCGAGACCGACCGCCCAAGUUCCUUGGAACAGGACGCCUUGGAGGGUGAGAGCCCCGUACCCGGCGGUCCGGUCGAGCCAUGUGGUGCUCCCUCGACGAGUCGAGUUGUUUGGGAAUGCAGCUCAAACUGGGUGGUAAAUUCCGUCUAAAGCUAAAUAUCGGCGGGAGACCGAUAGCGCACAAGUAGAGUGAUCGAAAGAUGAAAAGCACUUUGAAAAGAGAGUUAAAAAGUACGUGAAAUUGUUGAAAGGGAAGCGCUUGCCAUCAGAACCGGCGCCGGUCGAUCAACGUUCCUUCUGGUUCGUGCACUCGGCCGGCUGCCGUGCCAGCAUCGGUCGCCGCGGCGGGACAAAGACGGCGGGAAAGUGGCUCCCUUCGGGGAGUGUUAUAGCCCACCGUGCAAUGCCGCCAGCUGGCGACCGAGGACCGCGCUUCGUGCAAGGAUGCUGGCCUAAUGGUUGUAAGCGACC
RNAcentral lists this ribosomal RNA (1212 nucleotides) under uncultured fungus. RNAcentral describes it as "eukaryotic LSU rRNA". The stretch from base 576 to 1212 matches the Rfam family "Eukaryotic large subunit ribosomal RNA", at positions 1 to 649 of the family's 3401-position model. Lineage: Eukaryota; Fungi. The record is from RNAcentral.